This 496-nucleotide ribosomal RNA is filed under the name uncultured bacterium. RNAcentral describes it as "partial 16S ribosomal RNA". It matches the Rfam family "Bacterial small subunit ribosomal RNA", at positions 29 to 507 of the family's 1533-position model. The record is from RNAcentral.
AUGAACGCUGGCGGCGUGCCUAAUACAUGCCAGUCGAGCGAACAGACGAGGAGCUUGCUCCUCUGACGUUAGCGGCGGACGGGUGAGUAACACGUGGAUAACCUACCUAUAAGACUGGGAUAACUUCGGGAAACCGGAGCUAAUACCGGAUAAUAUAUUGAACCGCAUGGUUCAAUAGUGAAAGACGGUUUUGCUGUCACUUAUAGAUGGAUCCGCGCCGCAUUAGCUAGUUGGUAAGGUAACGGCUUACCAAGGCGACGAUGCGUAGCCGGCCUGAGAGGGAGAUCGGCCACACUGGAACUGAGACACGGUCCAAACUCCUACGGGAGGCAGCAGUAGGGAAUCUUCCGCAAUGGGCGAAAGCCUGACGGAGCAACGCCGCGUGAGUGAUGAAGGUCUUCGGAUCGUAAAACUCUGUUAUUAGGGAAGAACAAAUGUGUAAGUAACUAUGCACGUCUUGACGGUACCUAAUCAGAAAGCCACGGCUAACUACGUG